Molecule: non-coding RNA, 85 nt
Filed under: Pseudomonas saponiphila
Lineage: Bacteria; Pseudomonadati; Pseudomonadota; Gammaproteobacteria; Pseudomonadales; Pseudomonadaceae
Source: RNAcentral
CUUUAUGGCGGCUGUACGCGGGAGACCUUCGGGUCUGCCGGCUCCCCGGUCCCGGUUCGCCAACCUGCGUACAGCUGCCACCUUU